RNAcentral lists this ribosomal RNA (2921 nucleotides) under Staphylococcus aureus. RNAcentral's name for it is "23S ribosomal RNA". It matches the Rfam family "Bacterial large subunit ribosomal RNA". Lineage: Bacteria; Bacillati; Bacillota; Bacilli; Caryophanales; Staphylococcaceae. The record is from RNAcentral.
UUAAGUUAUUAAGGGCGCACGGUGGAUGCCUUGGCACUAGAAGCCGAUGAAGGACGUUACUAACGACGAUAUGCUUUGGGGAGCUGUAAGUAAGCUUUGAUCCAGAGAUUUCCGAAUGGGGAAACCCAGCAUGAGUUAUGUCAUGUUAUCGAUAUGUGAAUACAUAGCAUAUCAGAAGGCACACCCGGAGAACUGAAACAUCUUAGUACCCGGAGGAAGAGAAAGAAAAUUCGAUUCCCCUAGUAGCGGCGAGCGAAACGGGAAGAGCCCAAACCAACAAGCUUGCUUGUUGGGGUUGUAGGACACUCUGUACGGAGUUACAAAGGACGACAUUAGACGAAUCAUCUGGAAAGAUGAAUCAAAGAAGGUAAUAAUCCUGUAGUCGAAAAUGUUGUCUCUCUUGAGUGGAUCCUGAGUACGACGGAGCACGUGAAAUUCCGUCGGAAUCUGGGAGGACCAUCUCCUAAGGCUAAAUACUCUCUAGUGACCGAUAGUGAACCAGUACCGUGAGGGAAAGGUGAAAAGCACCCCGGAAGGGGAGUGAAAUAGAACCUGAAACCGUGUGCUUACAAGUAGUCAGAGCCCGUUAAUGGGUGAUGGCGUGCCUUUUGUAGAAUGAACCGGCGAGUUACGAUUUGAUGCAAGGUUAAGCAGUAAAUGUGGAGCCGUAGCGAAAGCGAGUCUGAAUAGGGCGUUUAGUAUUUGGUCGUAGACCCGAAACCAGGUGAUCUACCCUUGGUCAGGUUGAAGUUCAGGUAACACUGAAUGGAGGACCGAACCGACUUACGUUGAAAAGUGAGCGGAUGAACUGAGGGUAGCGGAGAAAUUCCAAUCGAACCUGGAGAUAGCUGGUUCUCUCCGAAAUAGCUUUAGGGCUAGCCUCAAGUGAUGAUUAUUGGAGGUAGAGCACUGUUUGGACGAGGGGCCCCUCUCGGGUUACCGAAUUCAGACAAACUCCGAAUGCCAAUUAAUUUAACUUGGGAGUCAGAACAUGGGUGAUAAGGUCCGUGUUCGAAAGGGAAACAGCCCAGACCACCAGCUAAGGUCCCAAAAUAUAUGUUAAGUGGAAAAGGAUGUGGCGUUGCCCAGACAACUAGGAUGUUGGCUUAGAAGCAGCCAUCAUUUAAAGAGUGCGUAAUAGCUCACUAGUCGAGUGACACUGCGCCGAAAAUGUACCGGGGCUAAACAUAUUACCGAAGCUGUGGAUUGUCCUUUGGACAAUGGUAGGAGAGCGUUCUAAGGGCGUUGAAGCAUGAUCGUAAGGACAUGUGGAGCGCUUAGAAGUGAGAAUGCCGGUGUGAGUAGCGAAAGACGGGUGAGAAUCCCGUCCACCGAUUGACUAAGGUUUCCAGAGGAAGGCUCGUCCGCUCUGGGUUAGUCGGGUCCUAAGCUGAGGCCGACAGGCGUAGGCGAUGGAUAACAGGUUGAUAUUCCUGUACCACCUAUAAUCGUUUUAAUCGAUGGGGGGACGCAGUAGGAUAGGCGAAGCGUGCGAUUGGAUUGCACGUCUAAGCAGUAAGGCUGAGUAUUAGGCAAAUCCGGUACUCGUUAAGGCUGAGCUGUGAUGGGGAGAAGACAUUGNGUCUUCGAGUCGUUGAUUUCACACUGCCGAGAAAAGCCUCUAGAUAGAAAAUAGGUGCCCGUACCGCAAACCGACACAGGUAGUCAAGAUGAGAAUUCUAAGGUGAGCGAGCGAACUCUCGUUAAGGAACUCGGCAAAAUGACCCCGUAACUUCGGGAGAAGGGGUGCUCUUUAGGGUUAACGCCCAGAAGAGCCGCAGUGAAUAGGCCCAAGCGACUGUUUAUCAAAAACACAGGUCUCUGCUAAACCGUAAGGUGAUGUAUAGGGGCUGACGCCUGCCCGGUGCUGGAAGGUUAAGAGGAGUGGUUAGCUUCUGCGAAGCUACGAAUCGAAGCCCCAGUAAACGGCGGCCGUAACUAUAACGGUCCUAAGGUAGCGAAAUUCCUUGUCGGGUAAGUUCCGACCCGCACGAAAGGCGUAACGAUUUGGGCACUGUCUCAACGAGAGACUCGGUGAAAUCAUAGUACCUGUGAAGAUGCAGGUUACCCGCGACAGGACGGAAAGACCCCGUGGAGCUUUACUGUAGCCUGAUAUUGAAAUUCGGCACAGCUUGUACAGGAUAGGUAGGAGCCUUUGAAACGUGAGCGCUAGCUUACGUGGAGGCGCUGGUGGGAUACUACCCUAGCUGUGUUGGCUUUCUAACCCGCACCACUUAUCGUGGUGGGAGACAGUGUCAGGCGGGCAGUUUGACUGGGGCGGUCGCCUCCUAAAAGGUAACGGAGGCGCUCAAAGGUUCCCUCAGAAUGGUUGGAAAUCAUUCAUAGAGUGUAAAGGCAUAAGGGAGCUUGACUGCGAGACCUACAAGUCGAGCAGGGUCGAAAGACGGACUUAGUGAUCCGGUGGUUCCGCAUGGAAGGGCCAUCGCUCAACGGAUAAAAGCUACCCCGGGGAUAACAGGCUUAUCUCCCCCAAGAGUUCACAUCGACGGGGAGGUUUGGCACCUCGAUGUCGGCUCAUCGCAUCCUGGGGCUGUAGUCGGUCCCAAGGGUUGGGCUGUUCGCCCAUUAAAGCGGUACGCGAGCUGGGUUCAGAACGUCGUGAGACAGUUCGGUCCCUAUCCGUCGUGGGCGUAGGAAAUUUGAGAGGAGCUGUCCUUAGUACGAGAGGACCGGGAUGGACAUACCUCUGGUGUACCAGUUGUCGUGCCAACGGCAUAGCUGGGUAGCUAUGUGUGGACGGGAUAAGUGCUGAAAGCAUCUAAGCAUGAAGCCCCCCUCAAGAUGAGAUUUCCCAACUUCGGUUAUAAGAUCCCUCAAAGAUGAUGAGGUUAAUAGGUUCGAGGUGGAAGCAUGGUGACAUGUGGAGCUGACGAAUACUAAUCGAUCGAAGACUUAAUCAA